This 383-nucleotide long non-coding RNA is filed under the name Junco hyemalis (dark-eyed junco). RNAcentral's name for it is "lncRNA (ENSJHYG00000009298.1)". The record is from RNAcentral. Lineage: Eukaryota; Metazoa; Chordata; Aves; Passeriformes; Passerellidae.
GGAGAACUCAAGACUGUGAUGAGAACUGAACCAAUGUUAGUAAAUUCCUGCCAAACAUGACUAGAAGCAUCUGCCAGAUGAAAGGCUCGCACGGAGAACCGUACGCUGUGCAUUAGGAGCAGCAGAGAUCCUCUGGGAUCUGAACAGAGAAGGACUGUUUGAGAUGUGCACUCUAUGCUUGUCAAAGAGAAGCAGAGUGGAAACAGUUUCUCAGUGGAGAGUUUGGGACAGAUUAUAAUUUCAGAUGUGUGUCAGGCCAAUGCAAUAUGCCAGUGAAAAUGUCUUCAAGCAGGCAGCAAUGGCUGGACCAGAGUCAGGCCCUCACACCAGCUGAACUUUAGCAGGGUUGAAUAAAAAGGUGAGAAUCUCUACUUCUCUAAGCA